AUGAGCUCGCGGCCUAUCAGCUUGUUGGUGAGGUAAUGGCUCACCAAGGCGUCGACGGGUAGCCGGCCUGAGAGGGUGACCGGCCACACUGGGACUGAGACACGGCCCAGACUCCUACGGGAGGCAGCAGUGGGGAAUAUUGCACAAUGGGCGAAAGCCUGAUGCAGCGACGCCGCGUGAGGGAUGACGGCCUUCGGGUUGUAAACCUCUUUCAGCAGGGAAGAAGCGAAAGUGACGGUACCUGCAGAAGAAGCGCCGGCUAACUACGUGCCAGCAGCCGCGGUAAUACGUAGGGCGCGAGCGUUGUCCGGAAUUAUUGGGCGUAAAGAGCUCGUAGGCGGCUUGUCGCGUCGGCUGUGAAAUCCCGGGGCUUAACCUCGGGUCUGCAGUCGAUACGGGCAGGCUAGAGUGCGGUAGGGGAGAUCGGAAUUCCUGGUGUAGCGGUGGAAUGCGCAGAUAUCAGGAGGAACACCGAUGGCGAAGGCGGAUCUCUGGGCCGAUACUGACGCUGAGGAGCGAAAGGGUGGGGAGCAAACAGGAUUAGAUACCCUGGUAGUCCACGCCGUAAACGGUGGGAACUAGGUGUGGGCGACAUUCCACGGCUUCCGUGCCGCAGCUAACGCAUUAAGC
This 630-nucleotide ribosomal RNA is filed under the name Streptomyces sp. enrichment culture clone 3PS39. RNAcentral's name for it is "bacterial SSU rRNA". It matches the Rfam family "Bacterial small subunit ribosomal RNA", at positions 225 to 865 of the family's 1533-position model. The record is from RNAcentral. Lineage: Bacteria; Bacillati; Actinomycetota; Actinomycetes; Kitasatosporales; Streptomycetaceae.